GACGAACGCUGGCGGCGCGCUUAACACAUGCAAGUCGAACGGAAAGGCCUGCUUUCCCUUGUGGAUUGCGGGUACUCGAGUGGCGAACGGGUGAGUAACACGUGAGUGAUCUGCCCCCAACUUGGGUAUAAGCCUGGGAAACUGGGUCUAAUUCCCGAUAGGACUGCAGGGUGGUGCCUGUGGUGGAAAACGAUUUUCUAGUGGUUGGGGAUGAGCUCGCGGCCUAUCAGCUUGUUGGUGGGGUAAUGGCCUACCAAGGCGGCGACGGGUAGCCGGCCUGAGAGGGUGGACGGCCACAUUGGGACUGAGAUACGGCCCAGACUCCUACGGGAGGCAGCAGUGGGGAAUAUUGCACAAUGGGCGGAAGCCUGAUGCAGCGACGCCGCGUGGGGGAUGACGGCCUUCGGAUUGUAAACUCCUUUCGACCGCGAGGAAGCCACCUGGUUGGAAGGGUGGUGACGGUAGUGGUAGAAGAAGCACCGGCUAACUACGUG
This 494-nucleotide ribosomal RNA is filed under the name uncultured bacterium. Its description in RNAcentral is "partial 16S ribosomal RNA". It matches the Rfam family "Bacterial small subunit ribosomal RNA", at positions 28 to 507 of the family's 1533-position model. The record is from RNAcentral.